UCCGGUUUAACACCGGCAGUCUCGUUAGAGUGCCCGCCAUUACGCGCUGGCAACUAACGAUAGGGGUUUCGCUCGUUAUGGGACUUAACCCGACACUUCACAGCACGAGCUGACGACAGCCAUGCAGCACCUGUGAUGGUUCCGGAUUGGAUACCGGUCAUAGACGUUUCCGCUUCUUACUUCCACUGUUGUCUAGCCCAGGUAAGGUUCUUCGCGUUGCGUCGAAUUAAACCACAUGCUCCACCGCUUGUGCGGGCCCCCGUCAAUUCCUUUGAGUUUCAACCUUGCGGUCGUACUCCCCAGGCGGGGUACUUCCUGCGUUAGCGCCGGCACCCAGAGGGUCGCUCCCCCAGGCACCUAGUACCCAUCGUUUACGGCGUGGACUAC
This 387-nucleotide unclassified non-coding RNA is filed under the name uncultured bacterium. Its description in RNAcentral is "contains 16S-23S intergenic spacer region". The record is from RNAcentral.